Molecule: ribosomal RNA, 500 nt
Filed under: uncultured bacterium
Lineage: Bacteria
Description: partial 16S ribosomal RNA
Rfam family: Bacterial small subunit ribosomal RNA
Source: RNAcentral
AACGAACGCUGGCGGCAGGCUUAACACAUGCAAGUCGAACGGCAGCACGGGAGCAAUCCUGGUGGCGAGUGGCGAACGGGUGAGUAAAGUAUCGGAACGUGCCCAGUCGUGGGGGAUAACGUAGCGAAAGUUACGCUAAUACCGCAUACGAUCUAUGGAUGAAAGCGGGGGAUCGCAAGACCUCGCGCGAUUGGAGCGGCCGACAUCAGAUUAGGUAGUUGGUGGGGUAAAGGCUCACCAAGCCGACGAUCUGUAGCUGGUCUGAGAGGACGACCAGCCACACUGGGACUGAGACACGGCCCAGACUCCUACGGGAGGCAGCAGUGGGGAAUUUUGGACAAUGGGCGCAAGCCUGAUCCAGCCAUGCCGCGUGCAGGAUGAAGGCCUUCGGGUUGUAAACUGCUUUUGUACGGAACGAAAAGGUUUGACUUAAUACGUUGGACUCAUGACGGUACCGUAAGAAUAAGCACCGGCUAACUACGUGCCAGCAGCCGCGGUAA